This 304-nucleotide small RNA is filed under the name Cryptococcus neoformans H99. RNAcentral's name for it is "Cryptococcus neoformans var. grubii H99 hypothetical RNA". The record is from RNAcentral. Lineage: Eukaryota; Fungi; Basidiomycota; Tremellomycetes; Tremellales; Cryptococcaceae.
CUUGGCUGCCUAUCGUAAAUGUCAGACCCGCUACAAGCUCUUUCCUGAAUCGACUCUCCAAGAGCGACAUUGCAGAUCGGAACCAUUCCUUCUGGUCUACAUAUCUGAAUCCUUCCUCAUCCAAUUGCUUCUUAGACACGCUCAUCGCGUCUUGCGUAUCCCACUUCCACCCACAUUCUCUCAUCCUGGCCAAAGCCAACGCUGAGGCCGAACGAACGGAUUCGAGCUUCUCUACACCUUGUUUUACUAAUCCACCGAUGGCUUCGUCGCAAAUUCCAGAUUCAAGCAGAGAAGACAAGGGAGA